RNAcentral lists this long non-coding RNA (398 nucleotides) under Coturnix japonica (Japanese quail). RNAcentral describes it as "lncRNA (ENSCJPG00005004374.1)". The record is from RNAcentral. Lineage: Eukaryota; Metazoa; Chordata; Aves; Galliformes; Phasianidae.
CACCUUGCUAUUAUUAUCUGCUGAUAUGGGAAAAAAAGAAGUCAUUUAGACUCAGGACUAGUCAUCAGUAAAUGACUAUCACUGAAAAGUGAAUGGCAUGAUGGUGGAUUCUAUUGCUGAGGAUCAUAAAAUGGAGUUUCACAGCCAGUGUUGGCUGUGGCUACACUAAGUACUGCUCUCAGGGGAAUGGCUGUAUUUGCAAGAUGCAGACUAUAAAUUUGGAGGAUCAUUUCUGGUUCAAGUACAAAACCAUGACCGAGAGACAGUUCUGUUGGCCCGGGAGGAAAUGGGGAGAGACAUUUCAGAGAAAUGGGUCCGGCUGGCUCCUGCUAAAUAUCACAAAGCAAUUAUAUCACAGAAUACAAGGACAUUCUUCAGCCGUUGUCCAGGUGCUCUGA